Molecule: transfer RNA, 83 nt
Filed under: Kapaibacterium sp. (SeqCode)
Lineage: Bacteria; Pseudomonadati; Bacteroidota; Eximiradiia; Eximiradiales; Kapaibacteriaceae (SeqCode)
Description: tRNA-Leu
Rfam family: tRNA
About the family: Transfer RNA (tRNA) molecules are approximately 80 nucleotides in length. Their secondary structure includes four short double-helical elements and three loops (D, anti-codon, and T loops).
Source: RNAcentral
GCGGAGGUGGCGAAAUGGCAGACGCACCACUCUAAGGAGGUGGCGCCUUAACGGGCAUGCGGGUUCAAGUCCCGCUCUCCGCU